AGUGAACGCUGGCGGUGGGCCUAACACAUGCAAGUCGAACGGCAGCACAGUAAGAGCUUGCUCUUACGGGUGGCGAGUGGCGGACGGGUGAGGAAUACAUCGGAAUCUACUUUUUCGUGGGGCUUAACGUAGGGAAACUUACGCCAAUACCGCAUACGACCUACGGUUGAAAGUACUGGAUCUUCGGACCUUGCUCGCUACAAUGUGCCGCUGUCUGAUUUGCUCGUUGUCGGGGUAAAGGCCCACAAAGGCGACGAUCCGUAUCUGGUCCGAGAGGAGGAUCAGCCACACUGGAACUGAGCAACGGUCCAGCCUCCUAGGGGAGGCAGCGGAGGGGAAUAUUGGACAAUGGGCGCAAGCCUGAUCCAGACAUCCGGCGUAGGUGAAGAAGGCCUUCGGGUUUUAAAGCCCGUUUGUUGGGAAAGAAGAGCAGCAGGGUAAUACCUCGCUGUUCUGACGGUACCCAAAGAGUAAGCACCGGCUAACUACGUG
RNAcentral lists this ribosomal RNA (492 nucleotides) under uncultured bacterium. RNAcentral describes it as "partial 16S ribosomal RNA". It matches the Rfam family "Bacterial small subunit ribosomal RNA", at positions 29 to 507 of the family's 1533-position model. The record is from RNAcentral.